AAACUUAUUGAUAAGUGGUACAACAUAUCAUGAAAGUAUAAUUCCAUCCUUGAGAGGUUACAACUUCCUGCAGAAAUCAUAAGCGAAAACCAAAAACCUUCCCUUCUCUCUUCUUCUUCUUUUUCUUCUUCUCUUUGGUAUACAUAUUCUCACACAAAGACAACGUCAUAUUGUAAUUAACAGUCUAACAAUAUUACAUUAACGAUUCAAUUUUCUUCAUCGAUCGUUACAUGUUGGUCAUAUUUGGUAGUCUAGCCUGGCCAUGAGACAUUAGUAAAUUCUAUAUAAUAGAUAAAAUACACUAACACAUAUUGUACUAAAAAAAAAAGAAGCAAUAUAUGACCAUAAAAAAGUACCAAAAAAUAAAAAAUAAAAAAUAAAAACCACAGUUAACAAUUGGAAUAUGUACAAAAUAUAUAGUAAUGUCCUACAAUCACGUUUAUAUCAUCUGUGCGAGAGGCUUUUUUUAACAAUUGGAAUAUGUAUAAAAUAUAUAGUACUGUCCUUCC
This 509-nucleotide long non-coding RNA is filed under the name Prunus persica (peach). RNAcentral describes it as "long non-coding RNA (PPER_LNC004195)". Lineage: Eukaryota; Viridiplantae; Streptophyta; Magnoliopsida; Rosales; Rosaceae. The record is from RNAcentral.